This is a long non-coding RNA of Cydia amplana, 163 nucleotides long. RefSeq lists it as uncharacterized. Lineage: Eukaryota; Metazoa; Arthropoda; Insecta; Lepidoptera; Tortricidae. The record is from RefSeq and is a predicted model, not a curated record. The transcript has 2 exons.
AUUGUCACUGUGACAAGGUACGAAAUAGGCUAUAACCGCGAAAAUCGAAGUUCGUCAAUUGCGGGCAUUUUUCUCUGUCACUCUAAUUACGUCUUAAUGAGAGUAAAAGAGAAAGAUCUCCGCAAUUUGCGAAUUUCGGUUUUCGCGGUAGGCCCCCUGUUGC